CAGCCGCAACCCCAGGGACCAGUGCGCACGCCCGGGCCGCCCUCCGGGAGACACCCUGCGGCCGUGGACAACUGAAUAAACACCCCAAAGCACUGCGAUCGGUCAAGGGCGGUGACAGCCA
This is an unclassified non-coding RNA of Cercocebus atys (sooty mangabey), 121 nucleotides long. The record is from Ensembl. Lineage: Eukaryota; Metazoa; Chordata; Mammalia; Primates; Cercopithecidae.